This 263-nucleotide unclassified non-coding RNA is filed under the name plant metagenome. RNAcentral describes it as "partial contains small subunit ribosomal RNA, internal transcribed spacer 1, and 5.8S ribosomal RNA". The record is from RNAcentral.
GUUCCGUAGGUGAACCUGCGGAAGGAUCAUUAUUGUAUAACCGAGGUGCGAGGGCUGUCGCUGACCCGAAAGGUCGUGCACGCCCGAGUGCCCUCACACACAUCCAUCUCACCCCUAUGUGCACCACCGCGUGGGACCCCCUUUGGCUUGUUCGGAGGGGGGCUUACGUUUUCACACAAACUUUGUAUGCAGUGUAGAAUGUAUUUUUUGUUUUUGCGAUCACGCAAUCAAUACAACUUUCAACAACGGAUCUCUUGGCUCUC